CCUAUGGGGGGCAGCAGUAGGGAAUCUUCCACAAUGGACGCAAGUCUGAUGGAGCAACGCCGCGUGAGUGAAGAAGGGUUUCGGCUCGUAAAGCUCUGUUGUUGGUGAAGAAGGAUAGAGGUAGUAACUGGCCUUUAUUUGACGGUAAUCAACUAGAAAGUCACGGCUAACUACGUGCCAGCAGCCGCGGUAAUACGUAGGGGGCAAGCGUUAUCCGGAUUUAUUGGGCGUAAAGCGAGCGCAGGCGGUUCAAUAAGUCUGAUGUGAAAGCCUUCGGCUCAACCGGAGAAUUGCAUCAGAAACUGUUGAACUUGAGUGCAGAAGAGGAGAGUGGAAUUCCAUGUGUAGCGGUGGAAUGCGUAGAUAUAUGGAGGAACACCAGUGGCGAAGGCGGCUCUCUGGUCUGCAACUGACGCUGAGGCUCGAAAGCGUGGGGAGCAAACAGGAUUAGAUACCCCGGUAGUCC
RNAcentral lists this ribosomal RNA (466 nucleotides) under Klebsiella pneumoniae subsp. pneumoniae. RNAcentral's name for it is "bacterial SSU rRNA". It matches the Rfam family "Bacterial small subunit ribosomal RNA", at positions 338 to 796 of the family's 1533-position model. The record is from RNAcentral. Lineage: Bacteria; Pseudomonadati; Pseudomonadota; Gammaproteobacteria; Enterobacterales; Enterobacteriaceae.